GAUGAAGAACGUAGCGAAAUGCGAUACUUGGUGUGAAUUGCAGAAUCCCGUGAACCAUCGAGUCUUUGAACGCAAGUUGCGCCCGAAGCCAUUAGGCCGAGGGCACGCCUGCCUGGGCGUCACACGUCGUUGCCCCCCCAUCUACUCCUUCGGGAUUGCGGGGGGCGGAUGAUGGCCUCCCGUGCGCCUCGUCGCGCGGUUGGCAUAAAUGCCAAGUCCUCGGCGACGCACGCCACGACAAUCGGUGGUUGCGAAACCUCGGUUGCCCGUCGUGUGCGGUCGUCGCGCAUCGAGGGCUCGAAAAAAUUGCCGGGCUCCGGCUCGGCUUUCAACGCGACCCCAGGUCAGGCGGGGUUACCCGCUGAAUUUAAGCAUAUCAGCGGAGGA
RNAcentral lists this unclassified non-coding RNA (387 nucleotides) under soil metagenome. RNAcentral describes it as "partial contains 5.8S ribosomal RNA, internal transcribed spacer 2, and large subunit ribosomal RNA". The stretch from base 1 to 122 matches the Rfam family "5.8S ribosomal RNA", at positions 35 to 154 of the family's 154-position model. The record is from RNAcentral.